This 87-nucleotide transfer RNA is filed under the name Fluviicola sp. Its description in RNAcentral is "tRNA-Leu". It matches the Rfam family "tRNA". Rfam says of the family: Transfer RNA (tRNA) molecules are approximately 80 nucleotides in length. Lineage: Bacteria; Pseudomonadati; Bacteroidota; Flavobacteriia; Flavobacteriales; Crocinitomicaceae. The record is from RNAcentral.
GCCCAGGUGCUGGAAUUGGUAGACAGGCAUGGUUGAGGGCCAUGUGUCCUUUAGGGCGUGAGGGUUCGACUCCCUCUCUGGGCACAA